GAUGAACGCUGGCGGCGUGCCUAAUACAUGCAAGUCGAGCGAACAGACGAGGAGCUUGCUCCUCUGACGUUAGCGGCGGACGGGUGAGUAACACGUGGAUAACCUACCUAUAAGACUGGGAUAACUUCGGGAAACCGGAGCUAAUACCGGAUAAUAUAUUGAACCGCAUGGUUCAAUAGUGAAAGACGGUUUUGCUGUCACUUAUUGAUGGAUCCGCGCCGCAUUAGCUAGUUGGUAAGGUAACGGCUUACCAAGGCAACGAUGCGUAGCCGACCUGAGAGGGUGAUCGGCCACACUGGAACUGAGACACGGUCCAGACUCCUACGGGAGGCAGCAGUAGGGAAUCUUCCGCAGUGGGCGAAAGCUUGACGGAGCAACGCCGCGUGAGUGAUGAAGGUCUUCGGAUCGUAAAACUCUGUUAUUAGGGAAGAACAAAUGUGUAAGUAACUAUGCACGUCUGGACGGUACCUAAUCAGAAAGCCACGGCUAACUACGU
RNAcentral lists this ribosomal RNA (496 nucleotides) under uncultured bacterium. Its description in RNAcentral is "partial 16S ribosomal RNA". It matches the Rfam family "Bacterial small subunit ribosomal RNA", at positions 28 to 506 of the family's 1533-position model. The record is from RNAcentral.